GGGUAUUUGGGUUGAGAUUCAGGUUUUGGUGAAUGUGGGGCAGGCGUCCAGGUGUGUUUGUGUCACUUGCUGCAACACUGUGGCCUAUGAAGAUUCCAACAGGAUGGUCUGACCAGAGGGGCUGGCACUCUGGAGUCGUGGGUGCAGCCAGGUACCCUGUGCAGGGCCUGGGAGGCUCUCCAGGCCACAGCCCUCAGAGAGCGCUGGGUCCCGUGUUGUGUGUGGGUUCCAUGUCCUCCACACAGCAGGAGAGGGGCCUCCCUGACCUCAACACCUGCCCUGUCAGUCUUGCUUCUCCCCAGCAAGCCUGCACUCUGGGGUCUCCAUAGGAGCUGGGGAAGCUGGGGCCCUCCCAGGGACCCUAGUCGCCACUGGGGGCUCUUGGCCUGGUUUCAUAAGAUGGAGCACUGCACAAGGCUAUGCUCAGAAAGCUGGUAAACGCAGGACAGGGUGGGCCUCGAGCCUGGGCUGGAGGGGUCUCUACCCUUGCUGGCCUGAGAGAUGGCCCAUAUUUCUUAUUUGUGACCCCCUGCUCUUCCUGGCCACCCCCCCGAGGUGGCUGAACAGGGUGCUUUUGUUGUGGCGAGGGGCCAGGAUGUGACCUGGGGUGCAGCCUCAGGCCCCGGGUUCAGGCCUCAGAGGUAGCCUGUGUGCAGGGCUGCGGCAGAGCCCCAGCCCCUCCCAACCAGAGCCCGUCCACACCAGGGCCUCCAGGUUCACCUGGGACCAGGACCCUGGGGCACACCCCAGGGUCGGGGAGGGGUAGGAAGGCCUCCCAUUGAAUCCUGGCUUCAGGCUCUGCCCUGAGAGGGGUCUAGGGUGAGGGUGUGGGCCCCCGGCUGAUGGCCUCUGACCCCGGCAACACUCAAAACAGGUGGGACCCUGACCAUCUCGUUCCAGCCGCCCCCGCACUGGGCUGUUUUUCUGCUUUUCCAGUUUCUUUUUUUUUUUUUUGAAACGGGGUCUUGCUGUAUUGCCCAGGCUGGAGUGCAGUGGCAUGAUCUCAGCUCACUCAUGACCUCCACC
Non-coding RNA from Chlorocebus sabaeus (green monkey), 1026 nucleotides. NCBI's taxonomy places the organism in Eukaryota, Metazoa, Chordata, Mammalia, Primates, Cercopithecidae. The record is from RefSeq and is a predicted model, not a curated record.